GAAAUGUCUGCUACAGAGACAAACUGAAGUUUGUGUAUAUCGUGCUGAUUCAGAAGAGAAUGAAGGCAUUUGUCAAGAGAUAAUGUCAGACUAAUCAGACAUGUUCCAAUCGAUUAAUGCAUUUGGAGGAUUUCCAAAUAUUUGCUGAUCUAAGGAAGGUAUAUGAUGGGAAACAAAUCUGAGAAAAGAAGGACGGUGGAUGCUUUCCCAUUUUGACCUGUGAUCAUUUUGGUAAGAACACUUUACUCAAUUAAGAGGUGAUCAAGUGAUUCCAGGCCUGCUGCUAAAUAAUUAUGAGAUGAUAUUUGGAAAUAUGUAUUUCUCCUUUACCUCCUGAAGCCACAGGUAUGUGCCUGAGGUUCUCAACAAAUGGCUGAUUAUCUCUCAGAAUAUUCAGUUGUCUGGUAGCUGGCACUAAUAGCUCGGAAUAAGCCAUGUUUAACUUCAGGAUCCAUCUGGACUCUUGGCCACUAGUGGUAGGUAAUACUAGUUGCAGAAUUCAGUUUCUCUGAGCCUGUGAAAACUGCCUGAUUUUAUUUCAAAUUCAUUUUGCAUCCUGUGGGAUGGAUUUGAGAUCAGAGCAAGAUAUUCAACCUUAUUUUUGUUAAUCUUGCCCCAAAUAUGAUCCAGAUUAACCUUUCUUAACACAAAUUUGCAUUUUUUACAAAUAUCAUUUUUAAUGAAAUUAAAAUCUAUGAUUAUUAACGUUAAUAUUGUGCAAGUAGCAUUUGUAAUAUAAAGGUUUCAAAAAAGGAAGAUAAUUUGAUUUACUGGAGACUUAUUUUGCCAUUUUCAACUUGGAAGCCCAGGACUCAAACAAAAGUAUUGUUUGAAAACUGUUGGGGUUGAUUAUUACUUAUGCUGGAAGUUUCAAAAAAAAAUUUUUAGAAAAAAAGAAAGCUGUUUUGUUCUAAUAAUUUGAAAUUUUAACAGUUAAAUUAUUGCUAAAUUUGCAUAAGAUUUGCUCUGUAAGACAAUACUUUUUAUAAUUGUUAACAUGUAGUUGUUUUACUUAUUUGUGCAUACUAGGUUAAUAUAUACAUAGUCAUAUUAAUAUAUGUUUGUAUGUAUACAUACUUAAAUAUAAAUUUUAUUUUUUAAAUGCAUGAUUUAAGAUUUUGUCAUAAAUUGUUAUAAAUUGUUUUGUGGAGUUUAUGCAUUUUGUAAAUUUGAUGGUGGCAGAUGGUGUACAUGUGAGUUAAUUGAAUAGAUCUUUCAUAGUCUGGCACUUUUUAUGCUUUUAGAAUUUGGAGAAGUUAGUCUUUACUGAUGAAUAGAGAGCUAUUGUACUUUAGAAACUAUUGAGCAAACAUAAAAUUUUAAGAACAACUUAUUUUUAUCCUAUGGAUUUUCCUAUUAUGUUUAAAUUUGCUCUUUUAGUUUGUUUUUAGAGCUCCCCUCAAGAAACAUACUCUUUGUUUUUAAUGCUCAAUCCUUUUUUAUUCUUUGUAGAAACUAGUGGUCUCCUAUUAAGUAAAUAGAUGUGUGUCUCAUUAGAGGGAUCCAUUCUAAAACAGAAGAGGACAACACUCAGGGAGGGCUGCAGUGAGACAGAGAAUCCUGAGAUUGUUCCUGAUGUGCAGAUCUUCACCUGGGGCUGCAGAAGACUGUACAGCUAUAGACAAAAUAAUGUUAAGGUAUAGAUGUCAUGGAAAGCCAGAACAUAGGAGUGAAUCCAUCCUACAGUCUGAAGGCAGAAACAAGGCCAUAAAUGGGGUUGGGGGAGAAACCCUGUGGUAAGAAUCUGUAGAGAUGAGGAAAAAAUUGUAGCUUUUAAGGUAGGUUAGGAACUGGCAGUUCAGAGCAAUGCCAGGGUAUUAGAAACUCACUCUAGUGUCAUCUAAGUUUCCCAAUAUAGGAUUGAGUGGACCUCAUCAUAUUAGCCACAUUCAAGGAAUAUAUGUAUGUUAUAGAAGUCAAUGAUUACAUUAAAAUAUUAAGUUUGAACACAAGUUCUAAUUUAUUUUUAUCACUAUUUCUUAAUAGCAAUUAAUUCUUUGGGGCUUCAAUUACUGACUGUAUUCCAAACAGUUACCAACAGUUCACUUCUUUAAUCGCAGAACUUACACCAUUUCCAAAUAACCAAUGUAAAUUUUUACCUUGGAUAUUAUUUUGUUACCCACAAACAACAAAUGUGAAUUUAGAUUUAUCAUCUUCCUCUGGGACUGAAUUUCCCCUGUAAUAUUGUUUUUUGUUGAUUUGUUUGUUUUGUAGUGGCAUCCCCAGCCCCUAUGUACCUAUGUUUGAUUUAUCUUUUAUUUCCUUCUUUUAUACUUAAACCUUAAGGUGGAUUGGAAAGUUGAUAUCAGUGACACAAAGUUUAGUUGAUUGGGUACUUUACAUUUCUACUUGACUUUGUACAUUUCUGAUUUAUAUGAACAACAAGCAACUAGGACUAAGCCUCCUUCAUUGCCCUAAGAGGUCUAUUAUAUUUCUAGUGAUUUUACCUAGGGGAUCUAUACAUGUACUAACAGUAGAAAUUAGAGGUGCAACACUACUGGCCAGAAUAUAGCAACAUCCUAAGUACAUUAAUAAUGUGUAAAGUGCCCAGCAUGUAAGGCACAAAUAAAAAUAGGGAAUGUCAUUUUAUUAAAUUAUCAGAAGUUAUGGGUCAUAUUCAAACAGAAAUAUUCUAAGAAAUUCAAUUCUAAGAAAUUCAACUUACUUUUAAUGUCAAUGUUUCUGAAAUUGGUAAACAUCAUUGAUGUCAAAAAGCCUUCUAUGCAUGAAAUAAAUUAUACUUGUCAUUUCUGAGCUUAUGGUAACAUGGUCAAGAAUUAAAGGUAUAUUCAUCUGA
Gorilla gorilla gorilla (western lowland gorilla) is the source of this 2797-nucleotide long non-coding RNA. RefSeq lists it as uncharacterized. The record is from RefSeq and is a predicted model, not a curated record. NCBI's taxonomy places the organism in Eukaryota, Metazoa, Chordata, Mammalia, Primates, Hominidae. The transcript has 2 exons.